CAGCCAGCCGCGGUAACACGGAGGGUGCAAGCGUUAUCCGGAUUUAUUGGGUUUAAAGGGUCCGUAGGCGGAUCUGUAAGUCAGUGGUGAAAUCUCACAGCUUAACUGUGAAACUGCCAUUGAUACUGCAGGUCUUGAGUAAAUUUGAAGUGGCUGGAAUAAGUAGUGUAGCGGUGAAAUGCAUAGAUAUUACUUAGAACACCAAUUGCGAAGGCAGGUCACUAAGAUUUAACUGACGCUGAUGGACGAAAGCGUGGGGAGCGAACAGGAUUAGAUACCCCGGUAGUCCCUGUCUCUUAUA
RNAcentral lists this ribosomal RNA (301 nucleotides) under uncultured bacterium. RNAcentral's name for it is "partial 16S ribosomal RNA". It matches the Rfam family "Bacterial small subunit ribosomal RNA", at positions 509 to 808 of the family's 1533-position model. The record is from RNAcentral.